GACGAACGCUGGCGGCGCGCUUAGCACAUGCAAGUCGAGCGAGAACCAUGGCUUCGGCCAUGGGGACAGCGGCGAACGGGUGAGUAACACGUGGGCAAUCUGCCCUCGGCACUGGGAUAGCCCGGGGAAACCCGGAUUAAUACCGGAUAGCCUCUCGAGCUCACGGGCUCGUGAGAAAAGAUGGCUUCGGCUUUCGGCUGAGGAGGAGCCUGCGGCGGAUAGCUUGUUGGCGGGGUAACGGCCCACCAAGGCGACGAUCUGUAGCUGGUCUGAGAGGACGAUCAGCCACACUGGGACUGAGACACGGCCCAGACUCCUACGGGAGGCAGCAGUGGGGGAUCUUGCGCAAUGGGCGAAAGCCUGACGCAGCGACGCCGCGUGA
Molecule: ribosomal RNA, 382 nt
Filed under: uncultured bacterium
Lineage: Bacteria
Description: bacterial SSU rRNA
Rfam family: Bacterial small subunit ribosomal RNA
Source: RNAcentral